GAUGAAGAACGUAGUGAAAUGCGAUACUUGGUGUGAAUUGCAGAAUCCCGUGAACCAUCGAGUCUUUGAACGCAAGUUGCGCCCGAAGCCAUUAGGCCGAGGGCACGCCUGCCUGGGCGUCACACGUCGUUGCCCCCCCAUCUACUCCUUCGGGAUUGCGGGGGGCGGAUGAUGGCCUCCCGUGCGCCUCGUCGCGCGGUUGGCAUAAAUGCCAAGUCCUCGGCGACGCACGCCACGACAAUCGGUGGUUGCGAAACCUCGGUUGCCCGUCGUGUGCGGUCGUCGCGCAUCGAGGGCUCGAAAAAAUUGCCGGGCUCCGGCUCGGCUUUCAACGCGACCCCAGGUCAGGCGGGGUUACCCGCUGAAUUUAAGCAUAUCAAAAGCGGAGGA
Molecule: unclassified non-coding RNA, 390 nt
Filed under: soil metagenome
Description: partial contains 5.8S ribosomal RNA, internal transcribed spacer 2, and large subunit ribosomal RNA
Rfam family: 5.8S ribosomal RNA (bases 1-122)
Source: RNAcentral